UCAAGAGUCUGGUUUUCCAAACAUGAGGUAUGUUACAAAGUGGACACUAGUAAGAUUAAAACAUUUAAAUUCUGGGCUGUUUGUAACCUCUAAACAUGAAACAUUAGGUUGAGAAGGAAAGCAGAACUGAAAGUUCAGUAAAAAUAUGAAGAGUUAACAAUUCUGGUCCUACUUUUGGGACAAAAGUUUGAAAUUCUUUUUAGAAAGCAGUAACUGCUUUAGGAAACACUAAAUACCUCUGCUAAAUAAGCAGAAAUAAUGUGGUCAUUCCCUGAAAAAUGUUCACCAGUAGCAACUUUCUUAAUAGAUCACGGAUAAUACUUAAAUUUCUGUCAGUUGUUUUUAUUCGCCAAAUUAAACAGUCCUAAUAUUACCACUUAUACUUUGUGGCUUAUAACACUACUGAGUCCUACUAGUACAUAUAUUAGAGUUGAGUGGGAGCCAAGCUACAAGCUUUAUUGGCAAAGCUCAAUCGGAAAAGCUUUGGCCUAUGGCUCCAACUAAACUUGUCCUGCCCUCUUUUCCUAUACCUUGAAGUCCACCUUAAGAGGAAGAUAUUUAUUUAUUUAUUUUUUUAAGAGGAAGAUAUUUAAACCAACAGAUGCAAGAAUUGCGAAUGACCUAUGAACAGUGGGUAUUAUGUGUAAGUGAUGAAUCACUAAAUUAUACUCCUGAAACCAAUAUUACACUAUAUGUUAACUAAAAUUUAAAUAAAUGUUUGGAAGAAAAAAAGAGCCCUACAUGACUUCCACACCAUGUUAUACAGAGAAACCAAGAUUCUAAGAGAGCCUGAUGGGCCUGCCCUGGACUCUUGACUCAGUUUUGCUUACCAUAGGUGGAGGAAUGGAAACAUGUUCCGACUGGGCCUAUCAGGGUCUGAAAUAGAGCCCCAGAAGGGACUGAACCACACGUCUCCAGGAUUCUUCUCCCAGUGUCAUCAAUUGGAGAGAGGAGUCAAGCCUCCAUGGGAAUUCACACAGAGAAACUAAGCAACAGCGGAAGGUGCCCUGCUCCAGCUGCAGGGACUCAGCCAGAAAGACUGGAAUACUACAUGACUCUACCUGCAAGUUGGGGAAGGAGAAUUCAACACUAUUUGAGUAUUGAGUUGCAUUAAAUGUUUACAUAUACAUAGUAUUUUUGCUGUAUAAUAGCAUCAUGCAUUUUCUUCCAUCAAUGUUUUCUUCUCUCAUUCUUUCACUUGUUUUUGUAACUACAAGCUGUGUUGGAAUUUGCACUUCUUUACAGGUUGGAACCAGUUUGAGAAAGGGGAGACAGAAGGCAAUUUAAAUGUAUGUUAUCAUCCAAAUGAUAGGGUUCCCUAGUAAAGCUGGGUAGAGGCUUAGACCUCAUGCAAAAACAGGGUUUGCUACUGCAUCUCCAUAAACAAGCCAUGGGAUGGCCAGACAACUGCAGUUGUCCUCACUCAAGCCCACUCCAAUAGGGGACCAAGAAACUCUUUAAGUACAAAAGCUCUACACAGCUUCUAUAGGUCUUUUAAAAGGUCUGUUCUACAUUGUUUGGGAUGGUGUGAGAAAGUGAAGAGAGCGACCCCAAAUCUCUUCUCCAACACCAUGUUCUGUCAUCAGGAUUGGAGUAGAAUCCUGAAGAGGGGAAUAACAUGUAUCCCUCUGAAUGUUUGCCAGCUUUUUAAUUUUUUAAAUAUAUUACAUUGUGGGUUCCACUGGCAUCAUGUGAGUUGUUUUAAGUAGCAUACUCACAGGCAUAUUUUUUUUUUCAGUUUUAGUAAUUAUGUAUGUAUUUUCAUCUGUAGUCAGAAAGAUACCUGUUUUUUUUCCUAACAUGUUUUAACACAUAUUACCCUGAGCAAAGAUUGUAAAGUCCAUGCUGAAUACUUAAAAACAUGUAUUUGUAGAGAAGUCAUGAAGGCGGUGUACACAUGAUGGAAGGCUGAAAAACAAUGUCAUAACCCUUUGUACUCAGGCAUCAGAAGGGGACCAGGCAGCUGUCCCUCUCAGCCGAGUGGUGCAUGCUCAAAGUGCUGCUGUGCUCACACAGUCCCCAAGUCUGCUUCUCCCUACACAGAGUCCUUCUGGGACUUCUUGAAGGGCAUUUUGUUUUUUGCCCAUACAAGACUAGCACCAUGAGUCAGAUAGUACUAAGCUGAAAGUUCACUCUCUAAUUCUAUUUCUUAUCUCUAAUUAUGCCCAGUCAUGUCCAAAAUAGCUCACCAGACUUUAUGAAAUGAAUACAGAGAACUAUAUCAAUAUUAAAAUGUCCCAAAUUUGAACAAUAUGAAACUCAUUUUUGUUACUCAACUUCCCCACAAACUAAAUCCCCUUGCAAAUAAAAGCUCAUAGAGCUUUUAUUUAAAGUCCAAAUGCUCUCACUCUCCAUUUUAUACAAUUGGCUCAGUGUCAGCCAGAGGCUUUUACUCAGAGCCAAGGUUCCUAUAGCUGCAGCUGUGUCCUGGGAUUUCACAGGAAUGAGUAUAGCUUCUUCAGCCUCUUCAAAGUUGCUUCAAAUCUCUAAUUAGUUCUAGUCUCCAAGGGGUCAGCAGUCACAAAAGAAACUGUCCACUAUAGAAGUUGUCACAAACAAAACUGUGGUACCCCACUUAAGUGACUAUGUAAUGUCACCUGACACUGCUAUCAGAGCACAGCAGAUAACUUAGUAGCACCUAUGCUGGAGACAGCAAGGACCUGGUCUCAGUCCGGUGGCAAGCCAGCCAGCUGCACCAGCACUGAAUCCACGGCCUGUGAAUCUGUAUGACUGAGCAGAAAGUGCCCAUCAAUAGUUGUGCUUCCACAUAUUUAAUAUAGGUAUUCCUUUGCUUUUGCUGUUGUUAUUGUUUUGUUUUGGUCAUGUGUCCCGGGUCUCCCAUAUAUAUUACCUACUUUCUCUCAGAGAGUGACAUUUGAGACAUUAUUGCCUUCUUCAAAAAUGUAGAUAGGUAUUCUGGUUUCUUCAUUUCCUUGUGUCUUGUGUCUCAUGUUUUGGCUACUUUGGUACAAGAUUGUGAGACCACAAGUCUAGAGAAAACUUCUACUCCCAAAUUCUUCCAAGUCUGUUCUCUCUAGAACAGGGAAGUACACUCUCCUCUGUAAAUGCAUGAGGAAUGGGAUAAUGAACAUCACCGUACUCCCUUAGUACUAUGUUUAACUUACUAGUAUAUGACGUUUUACUUAUUCUGAAAAUGGUAAUUGUCAUCUCUCUUCCAUAGACGUUUCAUUCCUACCUAGGCAGGUUGAGUUGGGCCAGGCAAAGCAGUAGUUGGCCAGAAUCAAGAUUCUAAGAAAAUAAAAUACUGUGAUCACAGUAAGAGGCAAUGAGUCAGGAUUAGUCUUUUGUCAAGAAGUAAAAGAAGGAUAACAAAGUUUAGCAAAACUUUAAGGAGAUUCUAGAUAUCACAGAUUAAAAUAGUCAAAAGUUAGUAUUCCAAAGAGUUGCACCAUUGAAAAGAUAGAACCCAAGCACAAGCCAAAAAGAUUCCAAAAAACUUAAAUUCAGGACAGAAACUUUUUUAAAAGCUUUUUUUAAAAUUUUUUAUUUAUUUAUGAUAGUCACACAGAGAGAGAGAGAGAGAGGCAGAGACACAGGCAGAGGGAGAGGCAGGCUCCAUGCACCGGGAGCCUGACAUGGGACUUGAUCCCAAUUCUCCAGGAUCGCGCCCCAGGCAAAAGGCAGGCGCUAAACCGCUGCGCCACCCAGGGAUCCCCAGGACAGAAACUUUUCUAGUCUCUCUUAUUCCUUCCUGCCUCCAUAGGAUCGGACUACUGGUGUAAGGAGAGAGAUUGCAGAUGGGAAGGAAGUGGUGCCAAGAGCUGCAGCUGCAAAAACUGCAAAUGAAUCUACAGUUAUCUCAAAAUAAAAUGAUUACUUUUAAAAAGUCAAAACUUGGAGGCCAAGAUAAGGAAACCAGUAUGUCAGUUUGGCAGUUACAACAUGAGCUUUGAAUAUGUGACAUCAUAAUGGCAGUGACCGCGGACCGCUGCGGAAUCUUCAGGCUUCAAGCAUUUGACAGUACUCUGCCAAGUGCUGUAGACUCACUCGAUUUCCCGUCCCGCGAAUUGAAGAGAAAAGGAUGUUCCCGUCAAUCAGAAAGCACGCUGAGCUUACAGGUGGACAUUCAAGGCUUCAGCGCAUGAGGAAGAGCUCGUCUGUGGAGGUGGACACCCACAGCGAAAGCACUACAUCAUCUGAGGGUGCCACUCGUACCUUGCUCAUCCAUGGCCCCGUUGAGCUCAAGAAAGGCUGGAGGAGGCAGAAGUGGCAGCUUUUCUUGUACAGCGAUUUAUUACUGAUGUCUAAUACCAAGCUGCAGAGAUGAAAAUGGGAACAGAGGAAGUCUCAGAAAUGGUCCAGUCAUACAUAGGGAAAUCAUGCAAGAGGUUCCAACCCAGGCCUGCCUUCAUCAGAAGGCCAUGUUCUUCCUUCCAUACCAUGUUGUACCCUUCCAUCCUUAGCCCAAGAGACA
Molecule: long non-coding RNA, 4435 nt
Organism: Canis lupus familiaris (dog)
Lineage: Eukaryota; Metazoa; Chordata; Mammalia; Carnivora; Canidae
Exons: 5
Source: RefSeq, a predicted model, not a curated record